GGGAACACUGUUCAUCAUCCUCUGCACCUUAUUAUCUCACCACGUCAGCAAGAUUCUAACGGCUUCUGACAUUUUCUUCUCUCAUGUGUUGGAUUCAUUUUGGAAUUUCUGAAGAAUGAAUUCCGAAAAUAGGAGCCGUGGAUUUAUUUGAGGAUCAAUCCUCACCUUCCAUCUGUCAGAGUUCAUUCUAGAAGAGAUUUACUUCCAGAUUUCUUGUGAAAAACGAAAAAUUUCAAGACAGGGGGAUAUAUAUCCCAGGUCUGGUUUGAGGCGAGGGAGAGGAUUUUUGGAGGCAGAGGUCACUUGAGAAAAUUAGGUUUCUAGAAAAAGCUUCUUUUGUUCAUCUGCAUUUUUCUUGGUUUUAAUUCCAGUCACAAUAGAAAAAUACAAAAAAAGUUUUGUUUCAUUUAGUUUGAUAUUAGCAUCUCUGUUCUCUUCAUCUCUAAAUUCAGAAAUUUCACCUUUAUUAUUAGUUUAGACUGAGUUCGAGAGCUGAGGUUUGUUCGAAGGUCAUGAUUUGUGGUUCCGAGAUUGAUUUGUUGUUUUUGUACGUAUCAAAUUUUUCUUUCGCUACUGUUUCUG
Molecule: long non-coding RNA, 582 nt
Filed under: Nicotiana benthamiana
Lineage: Eukaryota; Viridiplantae; Streptophyta; Magnoliopsida; Solanales; Solanaceae
Description: long non-coding RNA (NBEN_LNC041740)
Source: RNAcentral